RNAcentral lists this long non-coding RNA (1180 nucleotides) under Rattus norvegicus (Norway rat). Its description in RNAcentral is "long non-coding RNA NONRATT033732". The record is from RNAcentral. Lineage: Eukaryota; Metazoa; Chordata; Mammalia; Rodentia; Muridae.
UGUUGAGACUGCAAGCACAUGCCAUGACUGGCACUUUCUGGUAGGUUCUGGAGCUCAAAUACAGGUCCUUGUGCUUGACCAGCAGACAUUCUACCCACUAAGCUACCUCUCCAGCCUGCUGACCGCUUUUGAAAGCCCCGUGGGUCAUAUCCCAUGAGGACUGACUAUCCACGUUUGAAUCUGAAAGCUGGCCUUGUCCCCACAAGCCUGGCGUGACCUAUGGCUGCUCUGGCCACCCACGAGGGUUGCAGCCUGGGCCGACAGAAGUCCAAAAGUCGAGAGGCCAGGCUUGACCCUGGGGAGGCCAGCUGGCUCCUGGGGAGGGACCUUCCCCAGACCGGAGGAAGUCAGCUCAGGCCUGGCCAGGCAGGCAAGCAGUCCAAGGGUAGACCCAAGUCCUGGAUUCCUCAGUGUCUGCAGCUGCUCCUGGGACCACCCCAGGAGACGCAGCUUCUGAGUCCCCCAGAGAUCCAGCAAAGAAGUUAGCGUGAAACUGUAAAACUCUGCAGACUCUGUACGGGGAGGCAUGGACCACUUACCUAGCAUGAAUGAGGCUUGGGACUCCAUCCCCAGUAACGGUAAAUAAAUAAGUGAACGUGUAGGUAAAUAAAUAAAUAAAACAUGCCAACUAGCUCACCCUCAGCAGAGGGCGGGAAAGCAUUUAAGCCUGGCUCCUGGCCCGACACCCACCCCCAAACCCUCUGCUGGGCAACCUUUGACCAUUCCCAUGAUCAUUUAGAACUUUGUUUCCUCUCACACUACAGAGGGACUUGACAGUGCGUGCCACCUAGGUUCUGAGCUCGAUGCUGUGGGCCACACAACCAGACAAACACUUUGAAACCCUCCAAGCAGAUGAGCUCAAAAGACCUCCAGCAACCAAGGCCUUCCCAAGCUUCAGUCCCCGGACCAUUGGUUUCCCCUCGGCUUCUCUGCUCCUGGGAAGUCCUUUCUCUUGCCUAACUUUGAGGCCUCUUGUUUCAUCCUGAACUCUGUUCCUCCUUGCAUCGCUUCUGCACACAGUUCUCUCCCAGGCCACCUCUUUUUCUACCGUCACGGUCCUGAUGCCUCUCUCUCUUAAGCUAAGGCCUCCUGCACAACCAACUCUAGCAUUUCUCCUUUGUUUAGGGAAUGCUUCGAAAACAAAAACAACAACAACAAUAGCAAUAAACAACAGGUCAAU